RNAcentral lists this ribosomal RNA (491 nucleotides) under uncultured bacterium. RNAcentral describes it as "partial 16S ribosomal RNA". It matches the Rfam family "Bacterial small subunit ribosomal RNA", at positions 29 to 506 of the family's 1533-position model. The record is from RNAcentral.
AGUGAACGCUGGCGGUAGGCCUAACACAUGCAAGUCGAACGGCAGCACAGUAAGAGCUUGCUCUUACGGGUGGCGAGUGGCGGACGGGUGAGGAAUACAUCGGAAUCUACUUUUUCGUGGGGGAUAACGUAGGGAAACUUACGCUAAUACCGCAUACGACCUACAGGUGAAAGCAGGGGAUCUUCGGACCUUGCGCGAUUGAAUGAGCCGAUGUCGGAUUAGCUAGUUGGCGGGGUAAAGGCCCACCAAGGCGACGAUCCGUAGCUGGUCUGAGAGGAUGAUCAGCCACACUGGAACUGAGACACGGUCCAGACUCCUACGGGAGGCAGCAGUGGGGAAUAUUGGACAAUGGGCGCAAGCCUGAUCCAGCCAUACCGCGUGGGUGAAGAAGGCCUUCGGGUUGUAAAGCCCUUUUGUUGGGAAAGAAAAGCAGCAGGUUAAUACCCCGCUGUUCUGACGGUACCCAAAGAAUAAGCACCGGCUAACUUCGU